Molecule: unclassified non-coding RNA, 320 nt
Filed under: fungal sp.
Lineage: Eukaryota; Fungi
Description: partial internal transcribed spacer region
Rfam family: Eukaryotic small subunit ribosomal RNA (bases 1-46)
Source: RNAcentral
AAGUCGUAACAAGGUUUCCGUAGGUGAACCUGCGGAAGGAUCAUUAACAUUAUCUAAACAAAAACACUAACGGGGGUCACAUCCCGUUUUUGUAUCCCAACCAAACAGCGAACUUGUGUGCGAGGAAGGAAAGUUUGGCCGAAAAAGCCAAAUUCUUUCUCUUGCUUGCACUUUUUUCUUCAUAUUUCCUUAACCACAUUUUAAAACCCAAUGAAAAGUUUUUAUGACUGAACCUGUGUUCUUGCCUCUCGAAAGGGAGAAGAACAUUUAAAAAAAAACAAACCAAAAAACAACUCUUAACAACGGAUAUCUUGGCUCUC